UAGGGAAUAUUAGAAAUGGACGAAAGUCUGAUCUAGCAACACCGCGUGUGCGAAGAAGGCCUUCGGGUCGUAAAGCACUUUUUGGAAGGAAUAGGAAGGAAUGUACUUCCAGAAUAAGUCUCGGCUAACUACGUGCCAGCAGCCGCGGUAACACGUAGGAGGCGAACGUUAUCCGGAUUUACUGGGCGUAAAGCGCGUGUAGGUGGUACUGUAAGUAGGGCGUGAAAGCUCCUGGCUCAACUGGGAGAGGCCGUUCUAAACUACAGAAGUAGAGGAGGGUAGAGGGAGGGGGAAUGCCAGGGGUAGCGGUGGAAUGCGCAGAUAUCUGGAGGAACACCGGUGGCGAAGGCGGCCUCCUGGACCAUUCCUGACACUCAGACGCGAAAGCUAGGGUAGCAAACGG
This 403-nucleotide ribosomal RNA is filed under the name uncultured bacterium. RNAcentral's name for it is "bacterial SSU rRNA". It matches the Rfam family "Bacterial small subunit ribosomal RNA", at positions 355 to 775 of the family's 1533-position model. The record is from RNAcentral.